CACAUUCACAAAGAGAGAGAGAGAGAGAGAGAGAGAGAGUGAGAGCAUACAGUUCGCAGCAUAUUUCGUCGUUUAGAUAUAUAUACAUAAAUGCAACACACAGAGUAACACAUACAAA
Molecule: long non-coding RNA, 118 nt
Organism: Anopheles maculipalpis
Lineage: Eukaryota; Metazoa; Arthropoda; Insecta; Diptera; Culicidae
Exons: 2
Source: RefSeq, a predicted model, not a curated record